GAGUUUGAUCCUGGCUCAGAUUGAACGCUGGCGGCAUGCUUUACACAUGCAAGUCGAACGGCAGCGCGGGGGCAACCCUGGCGGCGAGUGGCGAACGGGUGAGUAAUACAUCGGAACGUGUCCCGUAGUGGGGGAUAACCCGGCGAAAGCCGGACUAAUACCGCAUAUGCUCUACGGAGGAAAGUGGGGGACCCGCAAGGGCCUCAUGCUAUGGGAGCGGCCGAUGUCCGAUUAGCUUGUUGGCGGGGUAAAGGCCCACCAAGGCGACGAUCGGUAGCUGGUCUGAGAGGAUGAUCAGCCACACUGGGACUGAGACACGGCCCAGACUCCUACGGGAGGCAGCAGUGGGGAAUUUUGGACAAUGGGGGCAACCCUGAUCCAGCCAUGCCGCGUGAGUGAAGAAGGACUUCGGGUUGUAAAGCUCUUUUGGUCGGAAAGAAAAGGCUUCGUCUAAUAAGCGAGGCUCUUGACGGUACCGGCAGAAUAAGCACCGGCUAACUACGUGCCAGCAGCCGCGGUAAUACGUAGGGUGCGAGCGUUAAUCGGAAUUACUGGGCGUAAAGCGUGCGUAGGCGGUUCUUUGUGUCCGCUGUGAAAGCCCCGGGCUUAACCUGGGAAUGGCAGUGGAAACUAGAGGACUCAGAAUCUGGCAGAGGGGGGUGGAAUGCCACGUGUAGCAGUGAAAUGCGUAGAGAUGUGGCGGAACACCGAUGGCGAAGGCA
This 722-nucleotide ribosomal RNA is filed under the name uncultured bacterium. Its description in RNAcentral is "bacterial SSU rRNA". It matches the Rfam family "Bacterial small subunit ribosomal RNA", at positions 9 to 723 of the family's 1533-position model. The record is from RNAcentral.